CGACCGGCGCACGGGUGCGUAACGCGUAUGCAACCUACCUUUAACAGGGGGAUAACACUGAGAAAUUGGUACUAAUACCCCAUAAUAUCAUGGAAGGCAUCUUUUAUGGUUGAAAAUUCCGAUGGUUAGAGAUGGGCAUGCGUUGUAUUAGCUAGUUGGUGGGGUAACGGCUCACCAAGGCGACGAUACAUAGGGGGACUGAGAGGUUAACCCCCCACACUGGUACUGAGACACGGACCAG
RNAcentral lists this ribosomal RNA (241 nucleotides) under uncultured bacterium. Its description in RNAcentral is "partial 16S ribosomal RNA". It matches the Rfam family "Bacterial small subunit ribosomal RNA", at positions 92 to 334 of the family's 1533-position model. The record is from RNAcentral.